Molecule: ribosomal RNA, 253 nt
Filed under: uncultured bacterium
Lineage: Bacteria
Description: partial 16S ribosomal RNA
Rfam family: Bacterial small subunit ribosomal RNA
Source: RNAcentral
GACGUAGGGCGCGAGCGUUGUCCGGAUUUAUUGGGCGUAAAGAGCUCGUAGGCGGCUUGUCGCGUCGACUGUGAAAUCCCGCGGCUCAACUGCGGGUCUGCAGUCGUUACGGGCAGGCUAGAGUUCGGUAGGGGAGACUGGAAUUCCUGGUGUAGCGGUGAAAUGCGCAGAUAUCAGGAGGAACACCGGUGGCGAAGGCGGGUCUCUGGGCCGAUACUGACGCUGAGGAGCGAAAGCGUGGGGAGCGAACAGG